This 72-nucleotide transfer RNA is filed under the name Notoscopelus caudispinosus (lobisomem). RNAcentral describes it as "tRNA-Val". It matches the Rfam family "tRNA". Rfam says of the family: Transfer RNA (tRNA) molecules are approximately 80 nucleotides in length. Lineage: Eukaryota; Metazoa; Chordata; Actinopteri; Myctophiformes; Myctophidae. The record is from RNAcentral.
CAGAGUGAAGCUAAAAUAGUAAAGCACCUCCCUUACACCGAGAAGACGCCCGUGCAACUCGGGCCGCCCUGA